AAGCUGCACACCCCUUUUUUGCUUUUUUCACAGGAAGACAGCUGGCCCAGUGACCCUCAGAAGUGGAUUGCAGAAGUGGGGGUACCUCCCAGGUUCUCCAGGUUUGUCUUCAGAGUGUUGUAGGCGGCCGUUCGGGACUUCAGGUCCAUCUCGAUCUGCGCCAGUUGCUGUUUUGGGAAAGCAAAAGCUCCAGGUGACCCUGAGCAUUGAAGGAGUUGGCUGAACUUUUUGAAAUGGCCACAACAGCUCAUGGUGCUUUCAAGAAAAAUAACUGCCCUGCCCAUUUGCUGGGAUGGCUUCUGUUUACCAGCAUUUGGCCCUUCCAGGGAGCCCCUGUGUGGCACCCAGGCGCCAAGCCAUGAUGGAUUUUCUAGGAUGACUCAGUGAGCCCAACCUUUCCUGAUUUCAAGCCCAUCCUGAACGGUCGGGACAUCCCACGCCCACACCUACCCUCUCAGGCUCUGCUGGAGGGCAGCUCAGGCUGACCCCCAAUCGUUGCUUCCAGGGGUACCCGACAUGGCCUGGCCCUCUCAAAUGCCCAUGUCUCCUGGCUCGGCUGUGCCGAUCUCCCUCUCAUGGGUUGGCAGGGGCAGGGAGGUGCAGUGGACAGAAACAAGACAGGCCUGGGCUCAAGCCACGCCCUCCUGCUUUCUGGCCGACUGGCUCAGGUUUCCCCAUUUGUUCCACAGCGGGGAUAAUGCCAGUGCUGAGAGCCGACUGUGCCAGGCUCCUUCACAUUCCCUCCUCGCAGCCCCACGUCGUGACACCCCACCAGCUUUGACAACCAGCCACGGCAGGAGCAUUUACACCACGGUCAUCCACAAAUGCUACAGGCCAGCACACGGCUGCUGACGGGAGAAUCUCAAGAGUCAACAGAUGAAGAAAAUGGGUGCUCCAUAGAAUGCCAACAGCUUUAGUCUAAAUAUACACAUUUUUAUACAUGGAAGAAUCCAUUGUCAACUUUUAAACAUUGGUUACCUUUUGGGAGAAUAAAGGGAAUGGGGGCGAUG
RNAcentral lists this long non-coding RNA (1010 nucleotides) under Homo sapiens (human). RNAcentral's name for it is "HSALNT0300476". Lineage: Eukaryota; Metazoa; Chordata; Mammalia; Primates; Hominidae. The record is from RNAcentral.